GACGAAGGUGGCGAGCGUUACUCGGAAUUACUAGGCGUAAAGCGUGAGCAGGCGGUUCGGUAAGUCCGUUGUGAAAGCCCCGGGCUCAACCCGGGGAUGCCAAUGGAUACUGCCGGACUUGAAUACGGGAGAGGUUACUGGAAUUCCUGGUGUAGCGGUGAAAUGCGUAGAUAUCAGGAGGAACACCGAAGGCGAAAGCAGGUAACUGGACCGUUAUUGACGCUGAGUCACGAAAGCCGGGGGAGCAAACAGG
This 253-nucleotide ribosomal RNA is filed under the name uncultured bacterium. RNAcentral describes it as "partial 16S ribosomal RNA". It matches the Rfam family "Bacterial small subunit ribosomal RNA", at positions 524 to 776 of the family's 1533-position model. The record is from RNAcentral.